This 27-nucleotide non-coding RNA is filed under the name Mus musculus (house mouse). Lineage: Eukaryota; Metazoa; Chordata; Mammalia; Rodentia; Muridae. The record is from RNAcentral.
UAGGGCCCAAUGUGACACCAAAGCUGA